GACGAACGCUGGCGGCGUGCUUAACACAUGCAAGUCGAGCGGUAAGGCCCUUUCGGGGGUACACGAGCGGCGAACGGGUGAGUAACACGUGGGUGACCUGCCUUUAGCUCUGGGAUAAGCCUGGGAAACUGGGUCUAAUACCGGAUAUGACCCUAUGGCGCAUGUUGUGGGGUGGAAAGCCUUGUGCGGCUAGGGAUGGGCCCGCGGCCUAUCAGCUUGUUGGUGGGGUGAUGGCCCACCAAGGCGACGACGGGUAGCCGGCCUGAGAGGGCGACCGGCCACACUGGGACUGAGACACGGCCCAGACUCCUACGGGAGGCAGCAGU
Molecule: ribosomal RNA, 326 nt
Filed under: uncultured bacterium
Lineage: Bacteria
Description: bacterial SSU rRNA
Rfam family: Bacterial small subunit ribosomal RNA
Source: RNAcentral